This 336-nucleotide ribosomal RNA is filed under the name Pseudoxenodon bambusicola. Its description in RNAcentral is "partial small subunit ribosomal RNA". The record is from RNAcentral. Lineage: Eukaryota; Metazoa; Chordata; Lepidosauria; Squamata; Pseudoxenodontidae.
AAAGACUUGACGGUAUUUCACAACAACCUAGAGGAGCCUGUCCAAUAACCGAUACCCCACGAUUAACCCUACCUGCCCUAGCCUUAACAGUCUAUAUACCGCCGUCGCCAGCUUACCUUAUGAAAGAAACAAAGUGAGCCCAAUAAUAACACAUUAAUACGACAGGUCGAGGUGUAACUAAUGAGUAGGCCAAAGAUGGGCUACAUUUUCUUAAACAGAAAAGCACGAAUCAACUAUGAAAUUAGAAACUGAAGGCGGAUUUAGCAGUAAGCUAACAACAAAAUACUUAGCUAAAAUAAUAGCAAUGAAAUGCGUACACACCGCCCGUCAUCCCUG